CUGUACUUGAGAUAUUUCACUGAGUGGGAGACAAAGAGGCUUUGUGUGCUCUUCAAAGUGCUCUCUGCUGACUGUGAUACACAUCCAGGAAAAACCCAGACCAAAGCCAUGAAGUCACCCCAAGUUCAAACCCAAAAUGCAAUUUGCAGUGGUUAGAAAUGACAAAGGAUGGGUGGUAGGAUCCAGAGAAAAAACAGUGAAACCCGAUGGACCUUAAAUAGAUCUGAGGGCACUGAUUUGAUUAUUUUGGGUGAAAUCUUUUAAGAAAAUCUUGUCAGAUUCUUCACAGAAAAUUUGGUAAAGCCUAUAUUUCAUCGCCAGCCUAGCAAAGGCAAGCUGGCAAACAGGGAAACAAGGAGAACUGUGUGCUCAGCCCUCCAGAGUGGCACGGAUUAUGAGGAGGUGAUGGUCCUUCCCCGCCAAGAUCCUGAGACACUGUCACUCCGGAAUCCAAAAAGAGAUUCAGUUCACCUUGUGCCCAACCUUCUGUCUCCCUGAGUCAGACCUGCAGACGAUUGCAUGCCACCAGCUGUCUUCACUCCUGAGAACAUGACACAAAGGAAUGCUCCCUGUCAAGUUCUUCAUUAUCCUUCUGAUGAAUUUCCCCUGGUUUAAACAAGUUGGUGGUAGACAGACCUUUCUCGCAUUUUCACAGACGUGCCAGGAGGAAACCCAGCGUCUCUCAGUUUCCUUUAAAUAUAUGAGAUACCAUGAAAGGAUUUGAGCGUUUUUUUAUGUGAAUCCAAAGAUGACAUUUACAAAAGGUGGAGAAGCAGUUCCCUACUGAGGGACGUGGAUACAAAAAGCAGAUGACACAACACAUCCCAUAGAGUUCCCAGGGAAGAAUGAACCCAGAUUCUUGACCUGCAGAGGUGGCGUACUGGCUGGAGAAAUCUCUGGCUGGCGACCGUGCUAUUCUGUCUGUCCACCUAACUGUGGGCUCCCAGAUCACCACUGCCAUGGGCAGGGGGCCGUGGGGUGGGCCUGCUUGGGGUGACAGGCUAGCUGUGCUCCCAUAGCAGAGGUGGGAGAAGGGAAUCACAUCUGGUGAGCAGCUAUGUCGUGCCAGGCACUGUGCUGUGUAUUGCACACAUCUCAAACCUUGUGACAAAUGUGUAAGAUAUUUUUUAUGUAUUACAAAUGAAGGAACUGGGCUCAGAAAAGCUCCAUUAUUUGCCCAAAUUGCAGCAGUAAUGCAGGAAUUUGAAUCCACAUUAAUCUGACUCCACAACCCAUGUUCUUUCACUGAAUUCCCAUAUCCUUGUUCCCCCUACUGUCCUCACUGGUCAAGGUGAGCUUGGUCUUCCACAAACAGGCUAGAAAAGUAUGCUUACUUAUCUUUAGCUUUAUGCUUUUAAACUAAUUCUUAAAAAUCUUCUCUGGAUAAGUCAAAGACAAUGGGAAUGUGUAUUUCUAAUACAUUAAUUAUAAUACAUUACCGGUUUACACAAUGCCAUCACCUUGUCAUUUUCUUUGACACAACGUCCCCCUCCCCUCUAGUUUAUAAAUGAGGACAUUGAGGCACAAAGUGGGUAAGUGACUUGCCCAAGGGGGAGAUUUGUCCAAUCAUAAAGAUGGGCCUGAACUUUUUCUACUUUGCAUUCUUACUUGAAAGGCAGGAAACAUAUGCUCAAGAGGGAGAUCUCACGAAAUUUCAUGUCAUAUAGUGCUCUCGCUAAUUUAAUCCUGUCAUUCCUGGUUAUAUCCCUUUGGAAAAACCACCACCAGUGCCUUCUCUUUUGAUAUAUUUACAGUAAAAAUAUUCCCUGUACAAACCAUCUCACUCUUUCACAGGGAACUGGCUUGGCCCUCUCCCCUGAAGUGGGUUGCACAUCCACCCAGCCCACCCCCAGCUCACUCUAGCUCCCUUCCUGUUAGAAUUUAUUCAGAACCUCCAUUUCUAGGAGGAAGCAAGGAGGGGGCAGUUAUCUUCGUGGACUUGGGUCCUCCUGGACCCUUUGUCCUCAUGGUUAUGUUUCAAACAGAGUUGAGGGCUCCCUAAAGGGGAAAGAUUAUUUAAGUUUUGUAAAUGCUGCCCUCCAAAAACCACUCCACAUAAAUGUUUCAUGGCUUAGCCUCUGUGAGGCCAGAGCUGGAACAUUCAGCUGUGAGGGUGUUUAUAUUUGUGGAACUCUCUUGAACAUUUGCUGUGGGUUUUAAACAGCUGCUAUGCUGAAGCUCUGGGGAUAGGAAGAUCAUGAAUAUUCAGGUGAAGCCACCAGAAUGAACAGCCGUUAAUAGAAUAAAUGCCUAAACAGUUGUGUAAGGCUUAUUAAGACCUAUUGGGGCUGAGAUAAUAAAUUCCCACUCUGACAUGUUGCAACUACUGUCGCUUAAACACUUUGGACCACCUCUUCUGAACUGAAGGAAAAAAUGAUGUUAGUUCUCUGCGCGAAUACAAAGAAACACCUGGAAGCCUUGGCAAGGGGAUGAGAUUUGGCAGAGAUCUUUCCGUGUACCGAUGCAUCCUCAGGAAAAUGAUGUGCCGCUCAUUGUUCCUGUUGUCAAGGUUAUCGCAGUCGACUUCAGGCUGGAACGGGCAUUGCUCUUGCACUGAAGAAAGUCUGUCCUGACUCCCUCAGAGUGCCUCAACAUCAACCAAGAGCCACCGUGAACCUCUGGGGCACUGAGCCUGGCCACCAGCACCCCCACCCCAGCCCAUAUGGCCUGGGCCUCUCCCUUGAUGUUUAAAGGAGAUGAUAAAAAUGCUGCAACCCAGAUAAUGAUCACCUUACUCUUCAAAAAUACUGCCCAAGUUCUUUGUUCAAGAUGCCAAGAACCUGGAUACCCUCCACUGGUAACAAAUAUGACUUUGUUUUUAGCAAGCAACUUUGCAGUGUAAUUAAGUUAAGGAUCUUGAGAUGAGAUCAUCUUGGAAUAUCUGGGUGGGCCCUAAAUCCAAUGACAAGUGUCCUCAUAGGAAGGGAAGAUACACACAGAGGAGAAGGUGGUGUGAAGAUGGAAGCCAAGACUGUUGAUACCAGUUGGAGAGCACCAAGAACUACCCGCAGCCACUGAAAGCUAGGAGAGAGGCAUAGGACUGUCUCCUUCAGACCCUCCAGAAAGACCAAACCUGCCCGUGCCUUGAUUUCAGACUUUUGGCCUCCCACAUUGUGAGAGAAUAAAAUUUUGUUUUUGAAGCCAU
RNAcentral lists this long non-coding RNA (3145 nucleotides) under Homo sapiens (human). Its description in RNAcentral is "HSALNT0007888". The record is from RNAcentral. Lineage: Eukaryota; Metazoa; Chordata; Mammalia; Primates; Hominidae.